This 255-nucleotide ribosomal RNA is filed under the name uncultured bacterium. RNAcentral's name for it is "partial 16S ribosomal RNA". It matches the Rfam family "Bacterial small subunit ribosomal RNA", at positions 524 to 776 of the family's 1533-position model. The record is from RNAcentral.
UACGUAGGGUGCAAGCGUUAAUCGGAAUUACUGGGCGUAAAGCGUGCGCAGGCGGUUUUGUAAGACUGUCGUGAAAUCCCCGGGCUUAACCUGGGAAUGGCGAUGGUGACUGCAAGGCUAGAGUUUGGCAGAGGGGGGUGAGAAUUCCACGUGUAGCAGUGAAAUGCGUAGAGAUGUGGAGGAACACCGAUGGCGAAGGCAGCCCCCUGGGUCAAAACUGACGCUCAUGCACGAAAGCGUGGGGGAGCAAACAGG